Long non-coding RNA from Eptesicus fuscus (big brown bat), 1254 nucleotides. RefSeq lists it as uncharacterized. The transcript has 4 exons. The record is from RefSeq and is a predicted model, not a curated record. Lineage: Eukaryota; Metazoa; Chordata; Mammalia; Chiroptera; Vespertilionidae.
UUGUGACUGGCUCAUUUCACGUCACAUAAAGUUUUCAAGAGCUGUCGUCUGCGUCUCUGUCGGCGUCAUCCUCAUCUUUAUCAUCUUCAUCUUCCUCAUCUUCAUCACCUUCAUCACCAGCCUUCGCGCACCGCCUCUGCAUCGGGCCCUGUGCUAAAAUCACAGUCAUCAUCCAUCUCACUUCAUCCUCUCAAUAACCUUGUGAGCUGGCACGAAGAGGUCUGAAGCACUUUGACCUAAAGGCAGGAGUGAGCUCUGGCAUUGCGGUAAGAACGCUGAGGCCCAGAGAGGUGAGCAACAUGGACAUGUCCAAGGUCACACCGCCUCCCAGACAUUGGCUGUGAGCCAUUGCCACCGUUACAGGAAGUGUUCUUGGAAAGCAAGCCAGCCGUGACUUCCUCGUAGAGAUCAGAGGAGCCACAAGAUCCCCAGGCCAGGGCAGAGGUCCCCACCCUGGAUGCUGGUGACACUUCCCCUAGGCGGAUGGGGCUGGGGCACGCAGGUCUCAGCCCUGAACAGUGUGUCCUCUCGCCUCGCAGUUCUUGGUAGACCGGGAACAGUCUGUCCUGUAGAAUUUCCUGUCACUUCUUCUCGCUGCCUGCUGGCCUCAGGGUUGCCACCUCGGGGCCUGACCCUGCAGAGGCUGGUCUCUGAAGCUCCCAGCAGGGGGUGGGGGUGGUCUUGGGGGCAUCCUGAGCUGAAAGGCCAUCACAGUUUACAAGCCACCUCCCCCUGGUUUGGCUGUCCCUAUAAACUAUUUCUUUUAGUCAGCUCAAAUGGUGCAUGGCGGCGUGAUAGAAGCAUAAAAUACAGAGAAACAGAUGAGUGUCCCACACCUGGAAACAGCAUGGGUCACAGCUCCCCUCUUCCCUCCACUCCCUCCUCCUCUCCCCUCACUUCCUUCCUCCCUCUUUCCUUCUUCCCACAAACAUUUAUUGGGCACCCGCUCUGUGCCAGCCACUCACAGCUCCGGGCACUGGGAACAAUAGUGAACAAGAUCAAGUCCCCGCUGUAGGGCCAUUUACAUUCUGGAGGGACUUUCUGCAUGUGGGUGUGGGGGGGUGUUGUUCGCCACAGAUGUGGUUGAUGGAGAACACAAGCUAAGAUGUUUUGUGAGCUCCUCGGGACACCCCCACGGAGCAAACAGAGGCCCGAGCACCCGCCGGGAGCGGGAUGGAACCCAGGCCGCCUAGCUGCGCUGAGCUGCUGCUGGAGGCCGUGGCAGCGGCCCCGAUGUUAAUAAAUCGCUUUCUC